Molecule: ribosomal RNA, 325 nt
Filed under: uncultured eukaryote
Lineage: Eukaryota
Description: partial 18S ribosomal RNA
Rfam family: Eukaryotic small subunit ribosomal RNA
Source: RNAcentral
CCCUUAGAUGUUCUGGGCUGCACGCGCGCUACACUGAUACUUUCAGCGAGUCCACCACCUUGCCUGGGAGGGUGGGGUAACCUCUGGAAAGUGCAUCGUGAUGGGGAUCGAUUAUUGUAAUUAUUAAUCUUCAACGAGGAAUUCCUAGUAAGCAUGUGUCAUCAGCCCGUGCUGAUUACGUCCCUGCCCUUUGUACACACCGCCCGUCGCACCUACCGAUUGAAUGUUUCGGUGAAGAUUCCGGAUAGGACUUUUUUGAUUUAUUUCAAUUUUGUCUUAAAAGCUAUCUAAACCUCAACAUUUAGAGGAAGGUGAAGUCGUAACA